Phyllopteryx taeniolatus (common seadragon) is the source of this 2300-nucleotide long non-coding RNA. RefSeq lists it as uncharacterized. Lineage: Eukaryota; Metazoa; Chordata; Actinopteri; Syngnathiformes; Syngnathidae. The transcript has 3 exons. The record is from RefSeq and is a predicted model, not a curated record.
UCAUGGGCCUCUUGAUAUGCGGCUCGGUGUUGCUCCUGCCACGUGCUUCCCGGAACACGCGAGCCUCCGCGAUGUUGCUUCCUGUAAAGAAGAAAUGCAACAUUUUGUAUUCUUUUUAGAAAUAAGAUACAGUGAUCACUUACAGUCCUACGCUAUAGCUAGUCUUGGGCCUGUUCUGAUCUAUACCGUGAAAUUUGGUCGGCAUGUCUAUCAUGAGUAGACCAACGAAAAAUCUUAACUGCAAGCUUUCGCUACAACGGAAUUACAUUUUGGCCUUGCUGGAAUAAUAAAAACAAAAUGUUCAAGAGGCUAAAAUGUUGACAUUGAAACGUUCUGUUUAGCUCUGCUUUGCUGAGCUUCACAAUAAAUAUUUGCACUGGUUGAAUACCUGAAUGUGACACUGUGAUGCUCUUUGUAGCUUUACAUCUACAAUGGGACACCAACCUUAUAAGGCUCCACUUUGACACAUUUUCAGCAUUGGAACAUACCCUUACCUUUUUUGGUCAAAAGUACAAACGAGUUACUUACGAGUAUUUUAUACUAUUUACUGUAUAUUUAAUACAGAGCAAUGUUUUGAUUGUGGCGGCACGGUGGACGACUGGUUAGAGCGUCAGCCUCACAGUUCUGAGGACCCGGGUUCAAUCCCCGGCCCCGCCUGUGUGGAGUUUGCAUGUUCUCCCCGUGCCUGCGUGGGUUUUCUCCGGGCACUCCGGUUUCCUCCCACAUCCCAAAAACAUGCAUUAAUUGGAGACUCUAAAUUGCCCGUAGGCAUGACUGUGAGUGUGAAUGGUUGUUUGUUUCUAUGUGCCCUGCGAUUGGCUGGCAACCAGUUCAGGGUGUACCCCGCCUCCUGCCCGAUGACAGCUGGGAUAGGCUCCAGCACGCCCGCGACCCGCGUGAGGAGAAGAGGCUCAGAAAAUGGAUAGAUGGAUGUUUUGAUUGUAAGAAUGGAUUUAACAUCUUUGUCUUAUAAUCGUUUGUGUGUUCCUGUCAGCUUUGUGGUCAAGGGGCAAAGAGCCAUCAGCGUCGCUCUAGAUGGUCAUUCAUUGACCCGAUGAUGCGGCACGUAAUGGAGAAGAACAGAGCAGAACUCGGCGGUAGCUCACCGUCCAGAUCCUCCGGCCUGGUCAGGUCGAUGACUCGAUGCACCAUCUUCCCAGCAUCCUCCCCGAGCUUGCCCAGGUCGUCGUGGUCUCUCUUAGGAUCUAAUAUGAAGUUCCCAUCAUGCACUCGGAGAAGCCAAGAAGCGGCUAAAAUGACAAAAGUGUGGUGGAAAACAUGGACACGCUGCGCUACUCUUCCUCCUACCAUCCCUCCUCCUCCUUUUUCUGGUGACAGAGGCAUUUUGUUUGACGCAAAAGAUGGUUGCCGGGUGAAGUCAUGCUGGCAGAGCGGCUGGAACUUGUGGGCCAAAGCGUAUAGAAGUGUGUGUUUAGGUGUGUGUAUGUGUGUGUUUAGGUGUGUGUUUGGAGGCCAAUGUCAGCACCACGACGGGGCUGUAAUCAGGGCGGCCGCAGAACAUGUGCCCGGGCAGUGCCGCGCUCACCGCAAGGAAGCCAGCGCCUAACAGCACACAAGAAGAAGAAGAAGACAAAAGAUGGAGAGUAGAAGAAGAGGAAGGAAUGGAAAGUACUAAAAUGGAGAAGCAGUGAGUGAAGAAGAUGGUCCUCAACCUUUAAGUAUGGAUUGCAAAUGUAACGAUAUGAAUUAUAUUCCAUUCAUUAUUGUUUUCGUAUAUAUAUAUAUACAGUAUGCAGUAUAGCAGGAGUGAAAGGUAAUUUCCGGAUGAAAUGUAUUGAACAUGCGACACACUGCUUUUGAUAAUGCAAAUAAGUUGUAAUAAUUUUGUCAUGUGACUUCUUUCCAGUAUGUUGCCUUUUUGUAUGUAUGUAUGUAUAUACACGUAAUCAUUAUUUAUACAUUUUUAAUUGGAAUUUACCAUGCUAUUUAUUCAACAUGCCACAUAUGACAAAUGCGGUUUUAAUAAUUUCGUCAUGCGACUUCUUUCCUGUAUUUUGCCUUUUUCUCUUAUUAUUAUUAUUAUUAGUAGUAGUAGUAGCAGUUGUAGUAGUAUUAAUAAUACAGUUUUAACAGUAAAUGAAUACCCUAUUUAUCUAACACUGCGAACGACAAAUGUAAUUGUUUUGUCAUGUAAGUUCUUUACUGUAUUUUCAUGUUUCUGUUAUUAAAUACAAAUGUUUACUAUGGUAAUGAUGAUGAUGACUAUUAUUAUAAAUAUUAUUAUUACUCUUGUCAUUAUUAUUUAUACUUUAUAAGAGAUGAUUAAAUGUACACAUAUA